Canis lupus familiaris (dog) is the source of this 1030-nucleotide RNA transcript. RefSeq lists it as uncharacterized. The transcript has 3 exons. The record is from RefSeq and is a predicted model, not a curated record. NCBI's taxonomy places the organism in Eukaryota, Metazoa, Chordata, Mammalia, Carnivora, Canidae.
CGCCACCCGAAUGCCUGGCCCGAGGAGCGCAGGGACAGUCGGGGGAGGAGCCGGGCCGGGGCUGCCCGCCGGCGCUCACCCGGACCCGCAGCCUCCUGCUCUGCGCCGAGGGUUGGGCCUGGGGCCUGGGGCCUGGGCUCGGACGUGCACGCGCGCGGGGAGAUCUGGGUCCCCGGAGGACAGACCAGGAGCGAGCAGCGUCGCACCGCCGCUUGACAGCCGAGCCUAGGAGGCUUAGUGACAACGUCUGGUCGUCUGGUGGGCAAGAAUGCGACCCGAAAUCCAGAGAGGGUGAGUGUGGCGCCCAAAGGCUCACAGCAAAGCCACUCGGAGCCAGAGGCGACCUCAGACCUCCCAGUUGUGACUGGCUUCUGGGCCCCACCCUGGGGACUGCCACCUGAAUGGGCACAGAGAAGGACAAUUCUCGGCAGGCACACUUGGCCAGGACAUGCAGCCAAGACUCAGGUCAGGAAGGACAGCUGGGAAAGUGGGAGGUCUACUCUCACGUCCUUCCACUCACCAGCUUGCACAGAAUGCAGCUCCCACACCUGAUGUUCCAGCAUCUCAUCCCCAAUCCAAACGGGACGCAAGCCUGGAAGGAUGUGGGCCCGAAAGGCACAGCACCCUCCCAGGUCCCAGCGGACCCAGGCUCCUGGUUUUGAGCAAAGGCGCAUGCCACCAGCACUGCACCCUUCCUGCACACUUGUUACCCAGAUGACAGGGCACAGGAGGCCGAGGGGCUGGCGGGGGCCCUUACCACAAGUCCCAUGGAAGGCGCAGAUGGCAGCCACCACGGAGGUCCCCGGGCCGAGCUCCGUCUCAACUGAGCUCGGUUUCCAGCAGCAUGAUGACCGCCAGGCGGGAGGUGGCGUCCGGGUCUAGGCCGCCCUCCUCCCUCCUCCUCUGCCGCCACAGGCGCCUCCAACCGCGACCCUGUCUACCUGGCCUGGCGGAGACUCAGGGCCCUGGGGCGCUGUCCGCGGUGCUGAAGGAAGUGCUGCCGCCCCCACCCCCUCCCCCUUGGCGGGCC